GGGGAAAAUUAAAAAUUUAAAUUUAAUAAAAAAAAUUUUAAUAUUAAAAAGAAAAAAUGGGGGUUUAAGUAUUUUUAAUAGAAAAAAUUAAUAUUUUUAUAGUUAAAUAUUACUGUAAAGGAAUUUUUAAAUAAAUGAAAUAAAAUUAAUAAAAAAGUAAAUUUAAUUUGUUGUAUCUUGUGUAUCAGAGUUUAUUAAAAAAUAAUAAUUUAUUUAAAUAAAUCUCGAAUUUAAAAGAGUUAAUUAAUUAAAAAAGUUAAUGUUGUAUAAUUAUUUUUAAUAAUUAAUUGGAAAUGAAAUGUUAAUCGUUUUUAAAUAUAUCUAGUUUUUUCAGAAAAAAAUUUAAUUUUAAAUUUAAAUAAUUUUAUAAUUUUUUGAUUAAUUAUAAAAAUUUAAAUUUUAAUAUUUUAGGGGAUAAGCUUUAAAUUAAAAAUUUAUAAUUAAAAAAUAUAAGAAUUAAAAUUUUUAAAAUUUAUAUUAUUUAAAAAUUAUAGUUUAUUAUAAAAAAUUUUGUUUAUAUAUAAAAUUUAAAAUAGAAAAUUUAAAUUUUUAUGAAAAAAUAAUUUAUAAUUUAAUAAAAUUAGAAAUAAUGAUAAAAUUAGUAUAAUAAAAUAAAUUAAAUGAAAUUUAUAAAUAAGUAAUUUAAAGGAAUUCGGCAAAAAUUUAUAUUCACUUGUUUAUCAAAAACAUGUCUUUUUGAUAAUAAUUUAAAGUCUAAUCUGCCCACUGAUAUAAUUAUUAAAGGGCUGCAGUAUAUUGACUGUACAAAGGUAGCAUAAUCAUUAGUCUUUUAAUUGAAGACUUGUAUGAAAGAUUUGAUGAAAUAUAGACUGUCUCUGAAUUAUUAUUAGAAAUUAAUUUUUUAGUUAAAAAGCUAAAAUAAAAUUAAAAGACGAGAAGACCCUAUAGAGUUUUAUAUUUUAUUUAUUUAGUAUUAAAUAUAUAAUUAAAUUAUAUUAAUUAAAUAAAAUAUUGUAUUGGGGUGAUAAAAAAAUUUAAUAAACUUUUUUUAAAAAUAUAACAUAAAUAAGUGAUUAAUUGAUCCAUUAAUAAUGAUUAAAAGAAAAAAUUACCUUAGGGAUAACAGCGUAAUAUUUUUUUUUAGUACAAAUAAAAAAUAAAGUUUGCGACCUCGAUGUUGGAUUAAGAUAAAAUUUAAAUGCAAAAGUUUAAAAUUUUGAUCUGUUCGAUCAUUAAAAUCUUACAUGAUCUGAGUUCAAACCGGUGUAAGCCAGGUUGGUUUCUAUCUUUAAUAAAAAAAAAUAUUUUAGUACGAAAGGAUCAAAUAUUUAAAAUAAUUUUAUAAAGGAAAAAUGAAUAUUAUUAAUAU
This 1330-nucleotide ribosomal RNA is filed under the name Junonia cytora. RNAcentral describes it as "16S ribosomal RNA". The record is from RNAcentral. Lineage: Eukaryota; Metazoa; Arthropoda; Insecta; Lepidoptera; Nymphalidae.